GGUGGAGCAGCUUGGUAGCUCGUCGGGCUCAUAACCCGAAGGUCGUCGGUUCAAAUCCGGCCCCCGCAACCA
Molecule: transfer RNA, 72 nt
Filed under: Vibrio vulnificus
Lineage: Bacteria; Pseudomonadati; Pseudomonadota; Gammaproteobacteria; Vibrionales; Vibrionaceae
Also listed under: 2 other names
Description: tRNA-Met
Rfam family: tRNA
About the family: Transfer RNA (tRNA) molecules are approximately 80 nucleotides in length. Their secondary structure includes four short double-helical elements and three loops (D, anti-codon, and T loops).
Source: RNAcentral